RNAcentral lists this long non-coding RNA (431 nucleotides) under Zea mays. RNAcentral describes it as "long non-coding RNA (ZMAY_LNC000734)". Lineage: Eukaryota; Viridiplantae; Streptophyta; Magnoliopsida; Poales; Poaceae. The record is from RNAcentral.
UUUAGAACUAGAGACAUGAUCGUUGCAAAUUUGGGUGCCAAACCAUUGGUGAUUCAGUUGCCGAUUGGUUCGGAGGACAAUUUCCAAGGAGUUGUUGAUCUAGUAAGAAUGAAAGCUAUUGUAUGGACAGGGGAGGAGCUGGGUGCAAAAUUUGAAUACAAAGACAUACCUGCUGAUCUCCAAGAGAUGGCUCAAGACUAUCGUGUUCAAAUGCUGGAAACUAUUAUUGAAUUGGAUGAUGAAGUUAUGGAGAAAUAUCUUGAAGGAACUGAACCAGACGAGGAAACUGUUAAGAAACUAAUCAGAAAGGGAGCAAUUUCUGCCAGCUUUGUCCCAGUUUUAUGUGGUUCGGCAUUCAAAAACAAGGGUGUCCAACCAUUGCUUGAUGCUGUUGUCGAUUACUUGCCAUCUCCACUUGAUCUACCUUCAAU